Molecule: long non-coding RNA, 1183 nt
Organism: Ceratitis capitata (Mediterranean fruit fly)
Lineage: Eukaryota; Metazoa; Arthropoda; Insecta; Diptera; Tephritidae
Exons: 3
Source: RefSeq, a predicted model, not a curated record
UUACAAAGCGCCUAUUAUAUAUAUAUACAUAUUAAAAAAAAAAUGGAGAAAUGCAAAUUUUCAAAGAUAUUAGACGAGUAGCGAAACAGGAGAAUACGAGCACUUAAGGUCCUGCAAACUAUCCUCUGGGGCAACCAAUAUCUGGGCUACAUUAUCUCGUUGUCUAACCCGACGAGAAGCGAUGGCGUUUCUAUGGAAAUUCCAUUCCGAAAAAGUCCAUCGGUUAUUUGAUCCGAUUUUUCACACAGCACCAUUUGGGAGACAAAAAUAAUCAGCAGAGUGGUGCCGCUAAUUAAAUAUGGUCAAUCUUCGUAUCUCAGUAUCCUUCACACACCAUAUGAGCCCAGCAGCAUAUCAGCAUGGAUUGCGAAAAGUGGCACAGCACCACAACCGCACUUUAUGCUAUAAACACCCAAAAUAGUCCAAAGCUUUAACAAAAACCUGCUUGGUAGCGCUGGAUUUAUCAAAAGCCUUUGACACUUUUACCAAUGCAAAGCUAAUAUCCGACAUUGAGAGUUUGAAAUGCUCAACUGUGAGCUACCUGAGUGGUUGACAGUCAUCGGUAAAGUUUCGAGGUCAGAUUUCAAGACUUCGUAAGAUUAAAGACCAUCAGAGGGCGUGUCAAAACACCAACCUUAGGAGCAUGGUUUCCACAUAUCUAUGGAUCUAUUAUCAAGCACACCGCAACGUGCAAUUAAUUGGGGCUGGAACUCCACUAGACAUGAAAGACUCCAUACAGUUUUUAAGAACCAAACAGCUGGACAGAAAGUAGUACCGACAGGGUUUAAACGCCAUUCAUCGAGAGUCCGUCAAUACCUUCUUGAAAUCUCUUGCAGUGAGCGACAUUCUCAGAACCCAUACACCACCUUUUGUAGACCAAGACUUCAAGCUGCAACGAGAGAUACGUAUAAUACUGACAUAAUUAUGAUCUGGAUUUUGUGGUCGACCUAAUUCCAACUUAUUCAGACUUGACCUCCGACACUACUCUCACCACCUAGUCAUCUAGCGCCCUUUCCCUUUGGUAUGGACACGAUGAACAAGCAUUUCCUGGACCUUCAGCUAGAUCACCUCGAUGACUAAGACUAGUCUCUCCUAUUCGUAAGCGGAGUUGGAGACCGGCUGCAACAACAAAAACAGUAGCUAUGCAAUAUUUUUAAAUUUUUUUGCAAAAAGUUUCUUUAGU